GAUGAACGCUGGCGGCGUGCCUAACACAUGCAAGUCGAGCGAAGCACUUUGCUUAGAUUCUUCGGAUGAAGAGGAUUGUGACUGAGCGGCGGACGGGUGAGUAACGCGUGGGUAACCUGCCUCAUACAGGGGGAUAACAGUUAGAAAUGACUGCUAAUACCGCAUAAGACCACAGCACCGCAUGGUGCGGGGGUAAAAACUCCGGUGGUAUGAGAUGGACCCGCGUCUGAUUAGCUAGUUGGUAAGGUAACGGCUUACCAAGGCGACGAUCAGUAGCCGACCUGAGAGGGUGACCGGCCACAUUGGGACUGAGACACGGCCCAAACUCCUACGGGAGGCAGCAGUGGGGAAUAUUGCACAAUGGGGGAAACCCUGAUGCAGCGACGCCGCGUGAGCGAAGAAGUAUUUCGGUAUGUAAAGCUCUAUCAGCAGGGAAGAAAAUGACGGUACCUGACUAAGAAGCACCGGCUAA
Molecule: ribosomal RNA, 472 nt
Filed under: uncultured bacterium
Lineage: Bacteria
Description: bacterial SSU rRNA
Rfam family: Bacterial small subunit ribosomal RNA
Source: RNAcentral